RNAcentral lists this long non-coding RNA (203 nucleotides) under Panax ginseng (ginseng). RNAcentral describes it as "long non-coding RNA (PGIN_LNC001571)". The record is from RNAcentral. Lineage: Eukaryota; Viridiplantae; Streptophyta; Magnoliopsida; Apiales; Araliaceae.
UUCAAUAGGAUCCAUUCGAUAUGGGGUUUUAGAAAUGGGCUUUGUACCAGGUUCAAUAUCAAUAAAGAAUUCAACUUCACAUUCUGGGGGUAGACCGGGAAGUUCUUCAAGAAAUACAUCAGGAAAUUUACUAACAACAGAAAUAUUAUUCAAAUCCGACGUGUGUUUAUUCAAAUCCAUAACAUGGGCUAAGAAAGCUUGAC